Molecule: long non-coding RNA, 1028 nt
Organism: Alosa sapidissima (American shad)
Lineage: Eukaryota; Metazoa; Chordata; Actinopteri; Clupeiformes; Clupeidae
Exons: 2
Source: RefSeq, a predicted model, not a curated record
GACACUUCAGCGUGAGAAAUCGUGGGUGUGGCGUGUGAGUGUGUGAAACUAAUCAAAUGCGUGAGAGUUGGCAGCUAUGCACCAGAGCACUCGUGAUUCCUUUGAGUUGGCCAACGUGGGAGCCACACCACUGAAUAGCGCUGCUAACUACCGGUAGGUUAGCAGUUCCAUUCAGCCACGAGGGAUUGGAAACUACAGUUGCUGAACGCUACACCGACGCCAUGGGGUGCACACCAAUGUCGCUGUGUUCGAAUUCCUGGCCACUUUUAUCAAGCUGAGCUCUUGACAUCUCCUCCUCUCUGAGGCUCUCGGGCUCCUGGUAGGUGUCAAUGCUGUAGAAUCUCACUUUGUUUCUUGACAUCUCCUCUAUCUUUUCUAGCAGUUGUGCAAUGCUAAUGUAAUCAGGCCUGUCUUUGACAUUGAGAAGGUGAUACCUGUUCCCACAUUUCUCUACCAGCUGCUGAAGCUCCCGGCUCCCUUUCUGGAGCAACUCCUCCAUACCCAUCUCUCUCAACCCCUUAGUAUUGGUGAAGAGGAGCAGUGUGUGUCUCCAACAGCCCUCCCCAAAAAUAUCCUCCAUUUUCUCUAGCAUUUCUCUCGCUGCCCUUUCAGACAGCUCCUCUGGAAUCACCAGGAGGAAAGCAUGAGGUCCCGGAGCAGACAGUUGAACACAAAGCUUCACAUCCUGUCUCAUGUCCUUCUCAGAGAGUCCACUGCAGAACAAGUCUGCAGUCUCCACCAGGGUCACCCAUCUCCCAGCCACCUCCCCCCAUCUGCACUCACUGUGCUGGGUCUCUGUAAGUGUGGAUGUGCCCAGGAUGGUGUUUGCUGCUGCCUUCUUCUCAGCUGCACUCCCCCCGAUCAGCACCAGUCUCAACUCAGACCCAGCAGGAGGCUGUGGAGAUUCUGGAUCAGGACAGUUUUCUUCCACUGCAAACGCAGUCAUAGUUCAGUCACAGAUGAUUACUUUCUCCCAAACACAAUACACACUAUAUAGACAAUGAACUAUAACAAUCAUAUCACUCCAA